AUGAGGUGCUACACGGCUCUCACGGCGGCGGCAACGCUGGUGCUGCUUCUGCUGGUGCCGCUGGCGACGGCGGCGGAGGCGGAGGCGGAGGCGGCGAUCGCGUCCUACAGGGAGAGGAGCGAGGAGGAGACGCAACAGGUGUUCUUGGAGUGGAUGGCGGAGCACGGGGUGUCGUACGAUUCCGCCGUCGAGGCGGAGCGCCGGUACGCGAUUUUCAAGGGCAAGCUCCGCACCGUCGACCAGCACAACGCCGGGAUCCACCCGUAUCGCCUCGGCCUCAACUGGUUUUCCGACCGCACCAGCGCGGAGAUAUAUUCCCGUGUCCUUCCAUAG
RNAcentral lists this ribosomal RNA (333 nucleotides) under Triticum aestivum (bread wheat). RNAcentral describes it as "partial small subunit ribosomal RNA". Lineage: Eukaryota; Viridiplantae; Streptophyta; Magnoliopsida; Poales; Poaceae. The record is from RNAcentral.